Molecule: ribosomal RNA, 454 nt
Filed under: uncultured bacterium
Lineage: Bacteria
Description: bacterial SSU rRNA
Rfam family: Bacterial small subunit ribosomal RNA
Source: RNAcentral
CGCUGGCGGCGUGCCUAACACAUGCAAGUCGAACGGGUAACUCCUUCGGGGGUUACUUAGUGGCGAACGGGUGAGUAACGCGUGAGGAACCUGCCUCUCAGUGGGGACAACAGUUGGAAACGACUGCUAAUACCGCAUAACAUACACGGACCGCAUGAUCUGUGUAUCAAAGCUUUAUGUGCUGAAAGAUGGUCUCGCGUCUGAUUAGCUAGUUGGUGAGGUAACGGCCCACCAAGGCGACGAUCAGUAGCCGGACUGAGAGGUUGAACGGCCACACUGGGACUGAGACACGGCCCAGACUCCUACGGGAGACAGCAGUUAGGAAUAUUCGGCAAUGGGCGAAAGCCUGACCGAGCAAUGCCGCGUGUGAGAUGAAGGUCCUUUGGAUUGUAAACCUUUGUUGACAGGGACGAUAAUGACGGUACCUGUCGAGGAAGCCACGGCUAACUACGUG